AACGAACGCUGGCGGCAUGCCUAACACAUGCAAGUCGAACGAGACCUUCGGGUCUAGUGGCGCACGGGUGCGUAACGCGUGGGAACCUGCCCUUAGGUUCGGAAUAACUCCCCGAAAGGGGUGCUAAUACCGGAUAAUGUCUUCGGACCAAAGAUUUAUCGCCUUUGGAUGGGCCCGCGUUGGAUUAGCUAGUUGGUAGGGUAAAAGCCUACCAAGGCGACGAUCCAUAGCUGGUCUGAGAGGAUGAUCAGCCACACUGGGACUGAGACACGGCCCAGACUCCUACGGGAGGCAGCAGUGGGGAAUAUUGGACAAUGGGCGAAAGCCUGAGCCAGCAAUGCCGCGUGAGUGAUGAAGGCCUUAGGGUUGUAAAGCUCUUCUACCCGGGAUGAUAAUGACAGUACCGGGAGAAUAAGCUCCGGCUAACUCCGUG
Molecule: ribosomal RNA, 433 nt
Filed under: uncultured bacterium
Lineage: Bacteria
Description: partial 16S ribosomal RNA
Rfam family: Bacterial small subunit ribosomal RNA
Source: RNAcentral